GAGAAUAGGAUGUGGACAUCUUUGCAGCUGUUAUUCUAGCUACCAGGUUGGGUAAAAAUCAAGAAGUCAGCAGGGUUGUGUUCCUUUCUGAAGACUCUACAGGACACUGUCUUCUCACCUUUUCCAGCUUUCCAGCUUCUGCAGGCCGCUUGCAUUCCUUGGCUCAUGCUCCCUUCCUUCAACUUCAAAGCCAACAGUGCUGCAACUAGAUUCCAGUUUGCUGGCUCAUGUAAGCUUCCCUGCACGGACAUCUACAGUGCAAAAACAAAAAGCCUGAGCAACGAGUCCUUCCAGUGAUGUUUAGAAUGACACGGAAAUUGCCACGAGAUGGAGAAUAAUCAGUCCUCAGAAGAAAAUAGAAGAACAGCUCUUACAGCUGAGUGGAAUGAUGGCGUAUAUAACGUUUGCUUCACUUCUCAUUUUCUCUUCGAGUGACGCCAUCUAACAGUGCGAUUCAGUAUUACCAAGGAGGCGGCGUUUCACAGAACGACUACUAGCAUGGCGGAUAGAAGGCUCCACAAGCCAGAUUUGCUGCUAAUGACACUAACAAUUCUGCAACAUGAAGAAGAAGAAGAAGAAGGUCAUCAGGUAUUAUUUCCAAAAGGGAUACGUACUUUUGAAGAAAUAAUAUUGCCUUUUCUCUGACGUUCAUGCUCCAGUUUGUCCCCAACAGACAGAUGUGAGGAAGAACCUGUAUCCAUACUCAAAACAAUACACUUGCUUUAAUGUCAGUCCCAGGUGAAGUGAAACCAGCCAGGAAGAACAUGGCAACCUCUCUGGUCUUUAAUAAUCAGUAGUUCUCAAAAGACCAGGCCUAUAUUAUUGUUAUUCCAGCAAGUUGACCAUUUACAAAUAGAUCAUCUCCAAAUUUUUCAUUUUGUAUCUUUGGACUAGAGAGUGUCCUCUAUAGGGGCCCAUAUAUGCAGUAUGGAAAGGAUAAGAGGGUCCCAGACCGGCCAUAGACAUCUAAUUCAUUGGUUAUGGUGAUGAUGUUGGGAGAUCAAAGAAGUAUGAAGGAUUCAAAGAGUAGUACUCUGCCUUGGGAAGAUAAUCUGUGGCACAAAAUCCAAAAAUAAUCCCCUUAUAAUUUCUGCUAUUUUCAGGAAGGGAGGGAGGGAAGGAGGAAGGAAGGAAUAAUUAAAUCAGCCAUGGCCCAGCCAAGAAGCAGAAACCAUUUUGAGUAUUUUGGUUUCUGAGCAGCUGCUAGAAGGUGACAAGGCAACCCAGAAAUUAGCAGUGGCAAGAACUUGCUACCACCGCUAGGGUAGAGGGGCAAAAGGAGUAGAUGGUGCUACCAGAAUCCAGAAGCCAGCUCACCCUCUGGAAGCAGGAAUCACAGUGUGCUAGACUAGGAGAGGAAGGGGGGUGCUGCGUCCACGAAGGAGAGGCCAUGGAAGCCAUCAGGGAUCAUGUAUGGAUUCAAGGAAGGACAAGGAGAAAUAUCAUGGCUUCUCCCUUCCUCCCACCAUCCAGUUCCCAUUGGUGCCUUCCAUUGACCAAACUCGGCCAGAAACCAGCUGACACAGGAUCCUAGGAAACUCAGCCUGCAGGGGUCAGUCUCCUGCAAUAUAGAGCUGAGCAGGGAAGGGUAAGAAAUGGAUCUGAGGGCUCACAGACCAGGCCAGGCACACUAGCCAACUAACGGAAAAGAAGGGGGUGGGGGUGGACUCUAACCUCAGUUCCAGCAAAUUCAACAGGAAGAGGUUACUUAUUAGCUCUGAGAACAAGGACCAUGUGUGAUCUACAUGAAAAGUCAAGUCACAAUACAACUCAAAUAACACUGCCAGGCAUCAGUAUGAAAGAUGCUGCACGAGAAACCAUGACACCUCUCAUGAGAUGGGGGAGACCAUGUUUGAACUGACUGGGUUCUGGUUGAGAAAGAAGGGAGGUCAGGAUGAAACCGAGGCUUCCAGGACAGAACAGGCACCAUCUGCAGAGACAGAUGUUGUACUGGGUUGUUGUACAGACAACAGGUGUUGUACUGGGUCAAAAGAUAAAUGAAACCCGAGGAAAGGCAGUGGACUCCUCAGUGGGGAGGGGCAGGUGUGACCCGGGCUCUUACCGGAAGGGCGGGUGUGUAGACGAGAAGGCGCGCUGCGGAGCUUCAGUGACCAGGUGCAGUCCGGUUGUAAAGUUUGACAAUGAAUGGAAAGACGAGCUUGCUGGGUGGCAGCUUUCCGCAAAGGAUCUCAUUGGAAAACAGAAAGAAGAGCGAGUAGAGUCUAACACCGAGGGCAGAGAAUCCACGCAAUCAG
This is a long non-coding RNA of Neogale vison (American mink), 2255 nucleotides long. RefSeq lists it as uncharacterized. The transcript has 3 exons. The record is from RefSeq and is a predicted model, not a curated record. Lineage: Eukaryota; Metazoa; Chordata; Mammalia; Carnivora; Mustelidae.